Molecule: transfer RNA, 71 nt
Filed under: Blumeria hordei DH14
Lineage: Eukaryota; Fungi; Ascomycota; Leotiomycetes; Helotiales; Erysiphaceae
Also listed under: 3 other names
Description: tRNA-Glu (CTC) (tRNA-Glu-CTC-1 1 to 10)
Rfam family: tRNA
About the family: Transfer RNA (tRNA) molecules are approximately 80 nucleotides in length.
Source: RNAcentral
UCCGUACUGGUGUAUCGGUAACAUUUCCGCCUCUCACGCGGUAGCGCAGGGUUCGACUCCCUGGUACGGAA